CGUUGCAGGGCAGUUCAUGGAUCAGUUCCUUUAUCCUCCAGGGACUGCCUGCAUACU
RNAcentral lists this microRNA precursor (57 nucleotides) under Oreochromis niloticus (Nile tilapia). RNAcentral's name for it is "microRNA oni-mir-10921 precursor". Lineage: Eukaryota; Metazoa; Chordata; Actinopteri; Cichliformes; Cichlidae. The record is from miRBase by way of RNAcentral.